UGGCUCAGUUGGUAGAGCAUGGUGUUUGCAACGCCAGGAUUGUGGGUUCCAUUCCCAC
This is a non-coding RNA of Salmo salar (Atlantic salmon), 58 nucleotides long. NCBI's taxonomy places the organism in Eukaryota, Metazoa, Chordata, Actinopteri, Salmoniformes, Salmonidae. The record is from Rfam.